This 76-nucleotide transfer RNA is filed under the name Alphaproteobacteria bacterium. RNAcentral describes it as "tRNA-Thr". It matches the Rfam family "tRNA". Rfam says of the family: Transfer RNA (tRNA) molecules are approximately 80 nucleotides in length. Their secondary structure includes four short double-helical elements and three loops (D, anti-codon, and T loops). RNAcentral also lists the same sequence under 1 other name. The record is from RNAcentral. Lineage: Bacteria; Pseudomonadati; Pseudomonadota; Alphaproteobacteria.
GCCGAAAUAGCUCAGUUGGUAGAGCAACUGAUUCGUAAUCAGUAGGUCGGAGGUUCGACUCCUCUUUUCGGCACCA